AUUGAACGCUGGCGGCAGGCCUAACACAUGCAAGUCGAGCGGUAACACAGGGAGCUUGCUCCUGGGUGACGAGCGGCGGACGGGUGAGUAAUGUCUGGGAAACUGCCUGAUGGAGGGGGAUAACUACUGGAAACGGUAGCUAAUACCGCAUAACGUCGCAAGACCAAAGAGGGGGGACCUUCGGGCCUCUUGCCAUCAGAUGUGCCCAGAUGGGAUUAGCUAGUAGGUGGGGUAAUGGCUCACCUAGGCGACGAUCCCUAGCUGGUCUGAGAGGAUGACCAGCCACACUGGAACUGAGACACGGUCCAGACUCCUACGGGAGGCAGCAGUGGGGAAUAUUGCACAAUGGGCGCAAGCCUGAUGCAGCCAUGCCGCGUGUAUGAAGAAGGCCUUCGGUUGU
Molecule: ribosomal RNA, 400 nt
Filed under: uncultured bacterium
Lineage: Bacteria
Description: bacterial SSU rRNA
Rfam family: Bacterial small subunit ribosomal RNA
Source: RNAcentral